This 253-nucleotide ribosomal RNA is filed under the name uncultured bacterium. RNAcentral's name for it is "partial 16S ribosomal RNA". It matches the Rfam family "Bacterial small subunit ribosomal RNA", at positions 524 to 776 of the family's 1533-position model. The record is from RNAcentral.
UACGUAGGGGGCAAGCGUUGUCCGGAAUCAUUGGGCGUAAAGCGCGUGUAGGCGGCCCGAUAAGUCCGCUGUGAAAGUCCAGGGCUCAACCCUGGGAUGCCGGUGGAUACUGUCGGGCUCGAGUCCGGAAGAGGAGUGUGGAAUUCCUGGUGUAGCGGUGAAAUGCGCAGAUAUCAGGAGGAACACCAAUUGCGAAGGCAGCUCGCUGGGACGUUACUGACGCUGAGACGCGAAAGCGUGGGGAGCAAACAGG